CUCCACCCCCAUGGACCUAGCUGAGGACAGGCACUCCUGCCUUCCACCUAAAUUUUGCAUUUCCCGAGACACCUUGGCCCGCCAUUCCCCCGUCCUGUGCCUGUAAAAACUCCAGGCCCUAGAAGGCACACACGCACAAGUGGCUGGACUUCGUGAGGAAUUCAUAGGGGAAGAAGAUGCAAGUGGCUGGUCAUGGAGAGGACUUUUUGACGAGCGCCGGCAAAAGAGCACAGCGAAGAAAUCCCAGGAUACGGAAAGCCCUCUGUACUUGCAACAAGAGUCUCACUGUGUCAGCCAGGCUGGAGUGGCAUGAUCUUGGCUCACUGCAACCUCCGUCUCCCGGGCUCAAGCAAUUCUCCUGCCUCAGCCUCCAGAGUAGCUGGGAUUACAGGUAUGAGCCUUGCAAGAAGACAUACAUAUUUUGCUGAUUGCCAAGGGGAUAAUGCAUUGGGUAUAAGAAGAAGGAAAGUAGAGGAACCAAUUAAGAAAUAUUUACUACAAUUAAGAAGAGAUGAUAAUAACUUCGACCAAGGUGGAGGCUAUGAAGAUGGAGCAAUGCGAAUACAUGGAGACAUGUUUUUGAUGUAGACUCAGCAAGAAAUUCUAAUAUAUUAGAUUUUAUGUUUUGGGAGAAAAAGAGACAUCUCCAAGAUUAUGGCUUGAAUAGAUUGGGACUAAUAGUGAAACUUGAGAGUGAUCACAUAUGGAGAUGAAAGAUUGAAAGACCUCUCGCUGAACAUAAUAUAGAAGGUCUAAAAUACUCUCAAGUCCCCUCCAUCUCAAAAUGACAGCAGUAACAGUGAAAACUAAACAUAGCUGUACCAAGGAUGACCCAGCAAGAAGGUUCUCAUCAGUGGCUGACCAGAUGCCAGAAACAUGCCAUUGGAGUGCCC
Molecule: long non-coding RNA, 893 nt
Filed under: Homo sapiens (human)
Lineage: Eukaryota; Metazoa; Chordata; Mammalia; Primates; Hominidae
Description: HSALNT0335203
Source: RNAcentral